RNAcentral lists this ribosomal RNA (656 nucleotides) under uncultured Lachnospiraceae bacterium. RNAcentral's name for it is "bacterial SSU rRNA". It matches the Rfam family "Bacterial small subunit ribosomal RNA", at positions 78 to 750 of the family's 1533-position model. Lineage: Bacteria; Bacillati; Bacillota; Clostridia; Lachnospirales; Lachnospiraceae. The record is from RNAcentral.
GCUUGCUUUUUAAGCUUAGUGGCGAACGGGUGAGUAACGCGUGAGUAACCUGCCCUAGAGUGGGGGACAACAGUUGGAAACGACUGCUAAUACCGCAUAAGCCCACGGUACCGCAUGGUACUGAGGGAAAAGGAUUUAUUCGCUUUAGGAUGGACUCGCGUCCAAUUAGCUAGUUGGUGAGGUAACGGCCCACCAAGGCGACGAUUGGUAGCCGGACUGAGAGGUUGAACGGCCACAUUGGGACUGAGACACGGCCCAGACUCCUACGGGAGGCAGCAGUGGGGGAUAUUGCACAAUGGGGGAAACCCUGAUGCAGCGACGCCGCGUGGAGGAAGAAGGUUUUCGGAUUGUAAACUCCUGUCGUUAGGGACGAUAAUGACGGUACCUAACAAGAAAGCACCGGCUAACUACGUGCCAGCAGCCGCGGUAAAACGUAGGGUGCAAGCGUUGUCCGGAAUUACUGGGUGUAAAGGGAGCGCAGGCGGGAAGACAAGUUGGAAGUGAAAACCAUGGGCUCAACCCAUGAAUUGCUUUCAAAACUGUUUUUCUUGAGUAGUGCGGAGGUAGAUGGAAUUCCCGGUGUAGCGGUGGAAUGCGUAGAUAUCGGGAGGACACCAGUGGCGAAGGCGGUCUACUGGGCACCAACUGACGCUGAG